CCACAUCUAGCCCACUUAGUACCACAUCUAGCCAUCUUAGUACCACAUCUAGCCAUCUUAGUACCACAUCUAGCCCACUUAGUACCACAUCUAGCCAUCUUAGUACCACAUCUAGCCCACUUAGUACCACAUCUAGCCAUCUUAGUACCACAUCUAGCCCACUUAGUACCACAUCUAGCCCACUUAGUACCACAUCUAGCCAUCUUAGUACCACAUCUAGCCACAUCUAGCCCACUUAGUACCACAUCUAGCCAUCUUAGUACCACAUCUAGCCCACUUAGUACCACAUCUAGCCCUCUUAGUACCACAUCUAGCCCACUUAGUACAACAUCUAGCCCACUUAGUACCACAUCUAGCCCUCUUAGUACCACAUCUAGGACACUUAGUACAACAUCUAGCCCACUUAGUACCACAUCUAGCCCUCUUAGUACCACAUCUAGCCCUGUUAGUACCACAUCUAGCCCUCUUAGUACCACAUCUAGCCCACUUAGUACCACAUCUAGCCCUCUUAGUACCACAUCUAGCCCUGUUAGUACCACAUCUAGCCCUCUUAGUACCACAUCUAGCCCUCUUAGUACCACAUCUAGCCCACUUAGUACAACAUCUAGCCCACUUAGUACAACAUCUAGCCCACUUAGUACCACAUCUAGCCCUCUUAGUACCACAUCUAGCCCACUUAGUACCACAUCUAGCCCACUUAGUACCACAUCUAGCCCUGUUAGUACCACAUCUAGGACACUUAGUACAACAUCUAGCCCACUUAGUACCACAUCUAGCCCUCUUAGUACCACAUCUAGCCCUGUUAGUACCACAUCUAGCCCUCUUAGUACCACAUCUAGCCCUCUUAGUACCACAUCUAGCCCACUUAGUACAACAUCUAGCCCACUUAGUACAACAUCUAGCCCACUUAGUACCACAUCUAGCCCUCUUAGUACCACAUCUAGCCCUCUUAGUACCACAUCUAGCCCACUUAGUACAACAUCUAGCCCACUUAGUACAACAUCUAGCCCUCUUAGUACCACAUCUAGCCCACUUAGUACCACAUCUAGCCCACUUAGUACCACAUCUAGCCACAUCUAG
This 1080-nucleotide long non-coding RNA is filed under the name Cyclopterus lumpus (lumpfish). Its description in RNAcentral is "lncRNA (ENSCLMG00005019380.1)". The record is from RNAcentral. Lineage: Eukaryota; Metazoa; Chordata; Actinopteri; Perciformes; Cyclopteridae.